UACGUAGGGAGCAAGCGUUGUCCGGAAUCAUUGGGCGUAAAGCGCGCGUAGGUGGCCACAUAAGUCCGUUGUGAAAGUCAAAGGCUCAACCUUUGAAAGCCGAUGGAUACUGUGUGGCUAGAGUACGGAAGAGGCGAGUGGAAUUCCUGGUGUAGCGGUGGAAUGCGCAGAUAUCAGGAGGAACACCAAUAGCGAAGGCAGCUCGCUGGCACGUUACUGACACUGAGGCGCGAAAGCGUGGGGAGCGAACAGG
Molecule: ribosomal RNA, 253 nt
Filed under: uncultured bacterium
Lineage: Bacteria
Description: partial 16S ribosomal RNA
Rfam family: Bacterial small subunit ribosomal RNA
Source: RNAcentral